ACGAAGGUGGCAAGCGUUACUCGGAAUUACUAGGCGUAAAGGGCAGGUAGGUGGUUUGAUAAGUCUGUUGUGUAAGCUCCUGGCUUAACUGGGAGAGGUCAACGGAAACUAUCAGGCUUGAGCAUAGGAGAGGGUACUGGAAUUCCCGGUGUAGCGGUGAAAUGCGCAGAGAUCGGGAGGAACACCAAUGGCGAAAGCAGGUACCUGGACUAUUGCUGACACUCAGCUGCGAAAGCUAGGGGAGCAAACAG
RNAcentral lists this ribosomal RNA (251 nucleotides) under uncultured prokaryote. RNAcentral's name for it is "partial 16S rRNA". It matches the Rfam family "Bacterial small subunit ribosomal RNA", at positions 525 to 775 of the family's 1533-position model. The record is from RNAcentral.